Molecule: ribosomal RNA, 2815 nt
Filed under: Moramonas marocensis
Lineage: Eukaryota; Jakobea; Jakobida; Moramonadidae
Description: bacterial LSU rRNA
Rfam family: Bacterial large subunit ribosomal RNA
Source: RNAcentral
AAUAAGGUAUCUAGUGAAUGCCUCGGUAUUAGAUCAUAAAGGACGUUAUACCUUGCGAAAAGUCAUGGGGAGAAAGGUUCAAAUUCUGUGAUCCAUGAAUAUCCUAUGGGGAAACUCUACCUAAGAUCAAAUCUUAUCUUUUCAUUAAAAGAUAAGAGAUAUACUUGGUGAACUGAAACAUCUAAGUAACCAAAGGAAAAGAAAUCAAAAGAGAUUCCGUUAUUAUUAGCGGCGAGCGAAUGCGGAAUAGGCCAAAAGAUGUAUUUCAAAUUAAUUUCAUUGUUUAGAAAAAGACUGGAAGGUCUUACCAAAGAAGGUGAUAGUCCUGUAUAACAUAUUAUUUGAAAUUCAUUUCAUGAUUAUUUAAUCUGAAUAGGACGGGACACGUGAAAUCUUGUCUGAACAUGGGGGGACCACCCUCUAAGCCUAAAUAUUAUCUAAUAACCGAUAGUGUACAAGUACCGUGAGGGAAAGGUGAAAAGAAACCUGAAUAAGGUAGUGAAAAGAACCUGAAACUGGAUACUCUCAAGCAGUCGAAGUAUAUUAAAAUUGGAUGUUUUUAUGUUCAAGAUGUAUAACGGCGUACCUUUUGUAUAAUGGGUCAGCGAGUUAACAUAUGCAGCAAGCUUAUAUUUUAUGUAGGCGUAGUGAAAACAAGUUUGAAAAAAAGCGUUAAGUUGUCUAUGUUAGACCCGAAACUGAGUGAUCUAUCUAUGAGCAGGUUGAAGGUGUGGUAAUACACACUGGAGGACCGAACUCACGUAUGUGGAAAAAUACGGAGAUGACUUGUGGAUAGGGGUGAAAGGCUAAUCAAACUCAGAGAUAGCUGGUUUUCCGCGAAAUCUAUUUAGGUAGAGCGCUAGACAAAUCAAAAAUGAUUAGGGGUAGAGCACUCAAUGGGCUAGGGGGGCGUAAAGUUACUUCAAACCCAAGGAAACUCCGAAUACUAAUCUUUUUUAUCUAGUAGACAGACCACGGGUGAUAAGAUCCGUCGUCGAGAGGGAAACAGCCCAGAUCGUAAGCUAAGGUCCUUAAGUAAUUGCUAAGUGGGAAAGGAUGUAAGAAGGCAAAGACAACCAGGAGGUGGGCUUGGAAGCAGCCAUCCUUUAAAGAAAGCGUAACAGCUCACUGGUCGAAUCAAAUUUUUUUUGAGCCUUCUUGCGCCGAAAAUGUAUCGGGGCUGUUUGAAUAUGGUGAAUAAACCUUAUUCAAAUAAGCAAUUCACCGAAGCUACGAAUGUUUGUAAUUGACUACAUGGUAGCGGAACUUUCUGUAAGUCGUUGAAGGAAAUACGUAAGCAUUUCUGGAGAGAUCAGAAGUGAGAAUGCUGACAUGAGUAGCGAUAAACAAUGUUAAAAUCAUUGUCGCCGAAAGUUCAAGGUUUUCUGCGCAAGGUUCAUCCACGCAGAGUUAAAUCGGUCCCUAAUAUGAAGACGACAGUCUAAGUAGAUGGGUUUUAUUUAUGAUGACGAAUUAUUGUAGUACAUCCAUUGUUAGUGGAUUCUAGUGGAUUCAUUACAUAAUUCCAGGAAAUAGUCAUAAAUCUAUCUAUACCGUACCCCAAACCGACACAGGUGAACUGGUUGAAUAUACUAAGGCGAUUGAGACAACAAUCUUGAAGGAACUCGGCAAAAUGACUCCGUAACUUCGGGAGAAGGAGUGCUUUUUCAGAUAGAUUUAUGUAUUUACUACAUUUUAUCUGAAAAAGUGUCACAAAAUCAGGGGUAGCGACUGUUUAAUAAAAACACAGGACUCUGCUAAAUCGUAAGAUGAUGUAUAGGGUCUGACACCUGCCCGGUGCUGGAAGGUAAAGGUGAUUUGUUUUUAAGCAAUGAUCUUAAGCCCCAGUAAACGGCAGCCGUAACCAUAACGGUUCUAAGGUAGCGAAAUUCCUUGUCGGGUAAGUUCCGACCUGCACGAAUGGUGUAACGACUUCCCUACUGUCUCCAAGAUUGACUCAGCGAAAUUGAAUUCUCCGUGAAGAUGCGGAGUACCUGCGGCUAGACGGAAAGACCCCGUGCACCUUUACUACAUCUUUACAGUGCUUAAGGGAGAUCAAUGUGUAGAAUAGAUGGGAGCUUAUGACACCUUGGCGCAAGCCAAUUGUAGAGGCAACAAUGAAAUACCAUCCUUUGAUCUUUUUACUGCUAACUACCUUUUAAGGGGAGGACAUUGUAUGGUUGGUAGUUUGACUGGGGCGGUCACCUCCCAAAAAGUAACGGAGGCGCGCUAAGGUAGGCUCAAGUUGGUCGGAAAUCAACUGUAGAGUGUAAUGGCAUAAGCCUGCCUGACUGUAACACAUACAAGUGGAGCAGAGACCUUUUUAAGUCGGUCAUAGUGAUCCGGUGGUGCUGUGUGGAAAGACCAUCGCUCAACGGAUAAAAGGUACGCCGGGGAUAACAGGCUGAUGACUCCCAAGAGCUCUUAUCGACGGAGUCGUUUGGCACCUCAAAUCGGGGCUUUUUCAUGGAAACAUGAAAAUUUGCAUCUGGCUAUAUGCUGGAACAUCCGGUGUAUCCAGAAAGCUUAAUCUUUUCCUAAUAUCAAUCACAUUCUAUCUAUAUCAGAUAGACCUCUGAUAUACCUCUUUGUUUUUGUGUUUGAAUAGGAAUUAUUUUUGUGAACUUUUCUGGUGCGGAUAAUCAGCAGGGAAGUCCAAUAUUUCACUCGUAUUGUGAAAGAUGACCCCUCAACGACUACACGCCAGACAUCCUAUUUGUAUCAUCUAGUGAUGAUACAAGAUGAUUAUAAGAUCAUCAAAGGAUGAUGAUAUAGUCUGAACUUUCAGGCGACUGAAAGGUUGCUAUUGCAACGU